RNAcentral lists this ribosomal RNA (421 nucleotides) under uncultured bacterium. RNAcentral's name for it is "bacterial SSU rRNA". It matches the Rfam family "Bacterial small subunit ribosomal RNA", at positions 355 to 775 of the family's 1533-position model. The record is from RNAcentral.
UCGAGAAUCUUCGGCAAUGGACGCAAGUCUGACCGAGCGACGCCGCGUGCGGGAUGAAGGCCUUCGGGUUGUAAACCGCUGUCAGUGGGGAGGAAGGCCGUGUGAAGAGCAUGGUUUGACCUAUCCGCAGAGGAAGUGUGGGCUAAGCUCGUGCCAGCAGCCGCGGUAAGACGAGCCACACAAACGUUAUUCGGAAUUACUGGGCUUAAAGGGUGCGUAGGCGGCGCGGAAAGUUGGGUGUGAAAUCCCUCAGCUUAACUGAGGAAGGGCGCCCAAAACUACCGUGCUCGAGGGAGAUAGAGGAGUGCGGAACUUAGGGUGGAGCGGUGAAAUGCGUUGAUAUCCUAGGGAACACCGGUGGCGAAAGCGGCACUCUGGAUCUCUUCUGACGCUGAGGCACGAAAGCUAGGGUAGCAAACGG